This 561-nucleotide ribosomal RNA is filed under the name uncultured Flavobacteriia bacterium. RNAcentral's name for it is "bacterial SSU rRNA". It matches the Rfam family "Bacterial small subunit ribosomal RNA", at positions 8 to 570 of the family's 1533-position model. Lineage: Bacteria; Pseudomonadati; Bacteroidota; Flavobacteriia. The record is from RNAcentral.
AGGGUUUGAUCCUGGCUCAGGAUGAACGCUAGCGGCAGGCCUAACACAUGCAAGUCGAGGGGCAGCACGUCUUCGGAUGGUGGCGACCGGCGCACGGGUGCGUAACGCGUAUGCAACCUACCCUGUACUGAGGUAUAGCCCGGAGAAAUUCGGAUUAACCCCUCAUAGUAUUAAAGAAUCGCAUGAUUUUUUAAUUAAAGGUUACGGUACAGGAUGGGCAUGCGUCCUAUUAGCUAGAUGGUAAGGUAACGGCUUACCAUGGCUACGAUAGGUAGGGGGCCUGAGAGGGUGGUCCCCCACACUGGUACUGAGACACGGACCAGACUCCUACGGGAGGCAGCAGUGAGGAAUAUUGGUCAAUGGGCGCAAGCCUGAACCAGCCAUGCCGCGUGCAGGAAGAAUGCCCUAUGGGUUGUAAACUGCUUUUAUUUAGGAAUAAACCUUACUACGUGUAGUAAGCUGAAGGUACUGAAUGAAUAAGCACCGGCUAACUCCGUGCCAGCAGCCGCGGUAAUACGGAGGGUGCAAGCGUUAUCCGGAAUCCUUGGGUUUAAAGGGUCC